AUUGAACGCUGGCGGCAUGCCUUACACAUGCAAGUCGAACGGCAGCACGGGUGCUUGCACCUGGUGGCGAGUGGCGAACGGGUGAGUAAUACAUCGGAACAUGUCCUGUAGUGGGGGAUAGCCCGGCGAAAGCCGGAUUAAUACCGCAUACGAUCCACGGAUGAAAGCGGGGGACCUUCGGGCCUCGCGCUAUAGGGUUGGCCGAUGGCUGAUUAGCUAGUUGGUGGGGUAAAGGCCUACCAAGGCGACGAUCAGUAGCUGGUCUGAGAGGACGACCAGCCGCACUGGGACUGAGACACGGCCCAGACUCCUACGGGAGGCAGCAGUGUGGAAUUUUGGACAAUGGGCGAAAGCCUGAUCCAGCAAUGCCGCGUGUGUGAAGAAGGCCUUCGGGUUGUAAAGCACUUUUGUCCGGAAAGAAAUCCUUGACUCUAAUACAGUCGGGGGAUGACGGUACCGGAAGAAUAAGCACCGGCUAACUACGUG
RNAcentral lists this ribosomal RNA (486 nucleotides) under uncultured bacterium. Its description in RNAcentral is "partial 16S ribosomal RNA". It matches the Rfam family "Bacterial small subunit ribosomal RNA", at positions 30 to 507 of the family's 1533-position model. The record is from RNAcentral.